Molecule: non-coding RNA, 968 nt
Filed under: Chloroceryle aenea (American pygmy kingfisher)
Lineage: Eukaryota; Metazoa; Chordata; Aves; Coraciiformes; Cerylidae
Description: 12S ribosomal RNA
Rfam family: Bacterial small subunit ribosomal RNA
Source: RNAcentral
AAAGACUUAGUCCUAACCUUACUGUUAGUUUUUACCAGAUAUAUACAUGCAAGUAUCCGCACCCCAGUGUAAAUGCCCUUAACCUCUUACAAAGACAAAAGGAGCCGGCAUCAGGCUCACAUUGCUAUCGCCCAAGACGCCUUGCUUUGCCACACCCCCACGGGCAUUCAGCAGUAAUUAACAUUAAGCAAUGAGUGUAAACUCGACUUAGUCAUGGUAAUACUUAGGGUUGGUAAAUCUUGUGCCAGCCACCGCGGUCAUACAAGAAACCCAAAUUAACCGUCACACGGCGUAAAGCGUGGCCCACACUCGUAUCGCAAUAACUAGGGUAAAAAUGCAACUAAGCUGUCAUAAGCUCAAGAUUCACAUAACCCCGCUAUUAAAACAACCCUAGCACUAUCAAGACUCAACCCCCGCCACGAAAGCCAGGGUACAAACUGGGAUUAGAUACCCCACUAUGCCUGGCCCUAAAUCUAGAUGCCCACUACCCACCAAAGCAUCCGCCAGGGAAUUACGAGCACAAACGCUUGAAACUCUAAGGACUUGGCGGUACCCCAAACCCACCUAGAGGAGCCUGUCCUAUAAUCGAUAACCCACGAUACACCCAACCACCCCUAGCCCGAGCAGCCUACAUACCGCCGUCGCCAGCCCACCUCCAUUGAAAGCCCCACAGUGAGCGCAAUAGCCCCUCGCUAGCAAGACAGGUCAAGGUAUAGCCAACGGGGUGGAAGAGAUGGGCUACAUUUUCUAAAAUAGAAAACCACGAAAGGAGACAUGAAACCGUCGCCGGAAGGCGGAUUUAGCAGUAAAAUGGGACAAGAAUGCCCCCUUUAAGCCGGCUCUGGGGUACGUACAUACCGCCCGUCACCCUCCUCACAAGCUACCAAUAACAUAACUAAUACCCAACCCAGCUGAAGACGAGGUAAGUCGUAACAAGGUAAGUGUACCGGAAGGUGUACUUAGCACAC